Molecule: unclassified non-coding RNA, 424 nt
Filed under: Hevea brasiliensis (rubber tree)
Lineage: Eukaryota; Viridiplantae; Streptophyta; Magnoliopsida; Malpighiales; Euphorbiaceae
Source: RNAcentral
UUCAGUUUCCAAUGGGGUAUAGGUAUGUCAGCUGUUUUGCACAUUAAAUUUUACUUUAGUUUAUUGUCAAUUCAUUAACCAUAGUGGUUUUAAUUUCUUGUUAAUUAUUUGUUGAUGCAUACAUGUAAAUCGCUCUUUUGAAACUGUCAAAUGUGUAUAUGAUGUUCACCAUUCUUUUCCCCACCUCUUUGCCUUUGGAAAGUGAAACAAAAAUUAUCUACACCUAUGUUUUUAUCUUUUAUUACUUAUUCCAAAUUAUCUGCUUUGCUCUAUUUUGAGGCCCUUAGUUUUUACAUUAGAUCUUGAUAUUGUUUGAAUAAAAAUGUUGUUUCUAAAUGACCAUAUUUUGAUAUCUUAAUUCUCAAGGGCUUUUUUGAUUGGAUAAUCUUCUUAUGAUGCAUCAAUUACAUUGGCUUCGUGGAGC